Molecule: microRNA precursor, 87 nt
Organism: Gossypium raimondii (Peruvian cotton)
Lineage: Eukaryota; Viridiplantae; Streptophyta; Magnoliopsida; Malvales; Malvaceae
Rfam family: MIR7486 microRNA precursor family
Source: Rfam
CUCAAGGAAGCGCUUGGUCCACGUGGAUAGAAAACGCUUCCUUGAGGGCGUGCUUUGUGUCCACGUGGACAAAGCUCUUCCUUGAGG